This 232-nucleotide ribosomal RNA is filed under the name uncultured bacterium. Its description in RNAcentral is "partial 16S ribosomal RNA". It matches the Rfam family "Bacterial small subunit ribosomal RNA", at positions 15 to 236 of the family's 1533-position model. The record is from RNAcentral.
GAUCCUGGCUCAGGAUGAACGCUAGCUACAGGCUUAACACAUGCAAGUCGAGGGGAAACGAUAUUGGAAGCUUGCUUCCGAUAGGCGUCGACCGGCGCACGGGUGAGUAACGCGUAUCCAACCUGCCCAUCACUUGGGAAUAACCUUGCGAAAGUAAGACUAAUGCCCAAUGACAUUUAUAGAAGGCAUCUGAAAUGAAUUAAAGAUUUAUCGGUGAUGGAUGGGGAUGCGU